RNAcentral lists this ribosomal RNA (120 nucleotides) under Colobus angolensis palliatus. The record is from RNAcentral. Lineage: Eukaryota; Metazoa; Chordata; Mammalia; Primates; Cercopithecidae.
GUCUGUGGCCAUACCACCCUGAACACACCCGAUCUCGUCUGAUCUUGUGAAGCUAAGCAGGGUUGGGCCUGGUUAGUACUUGAAUGGGAGACCACAUGCAAAUACCGGGUGCUGUAGGUU